UACAGAGACUGCAAGCGUUAUUCGGAUUCACUGGGCGUAAAGGGUGCGCAGGCGGUUGUGUGUGUCAGGUGUGAAAGCCCGGGGCUUAACCCCGGAAUUGCGCCUGAAACUACAUGACUAGAGCAUUGGAGAGGGUAGCGGAAUUCACGGUGUAGCAGUGAAAUGCGUAGAUAUCGUGAGGAACACCAGAGGCGAAGGCGGCUACCUGGACAAUUGCUGACGCUCAGGCACGAAGGCGUGGGGAGCAAAAGGG
This 253-nucleotide ribosomal RNA is filed under the name uncultured bacterium. Its description in RNAcentral is "partial 16S ribosomal RNA". It matches the Rfam family "Bacterial small subunit ribosomal RNA", at positions 524 to 776 of the family's 1533-position model. The record is from RNAcentral.